This 415-nucleotide ribosomal RNA is filed under the name Amblyomma naponense. RNAcentral describes it as "partial 16S ribosomal RNA". Lineage: Eukaryota; Metazoa; Arthropoda; Arachnida; Ixodida; Ixodidae. The record is from RNAcentral.
UUGCUGUAGUAUUUUGACUAUACAAAGGUAUUGAAAUAAGACUUUAAUUGAGUGCUAAGAGAAUGGAAUUACAAAAAAUUUCUUUCUUAAAAUUAAAAAUUAAAAUUAUUCUUUUUGUGAAGAAACAAAAAUUCUUAUUAAGGACAAGAAGACCCUAAGAAUUUUAAAAAUUAUUAAAUUAGUUAAUAAUUUAUUGUUAAUUUUUUAAUUGGGGCGAUUAAUAAAUAUUAAAAACUUUAUUAUUUAAAAAUACGAACCAUAAUUAAUGGUCAUUUGAAAAAAAUACUCUAGGGAUAACAGCGUAAUAAUUUUUGAUAGUUCUUAUAGACAAAAUAGUUUGCGACCUCGAUGUUGGAUUAGGAUUCUUUUUUAAUGAAGAAGUUAAAAAAAGAAGUUUGUUCAACUUUUAAAUUCC